Priapulus caudatus is the source of this 99-nucleotide long non-coding RNA. RefSeq lists it as uncharacterized. NCBI's taxonomy places the organism in Eukaryota, Metazoa, Priapulida, Priapulimorpha, Priapulimorphida, Priapulidae. The record is from RefSeq and is a predicted model, not a curated record. The transcript is spliced from 3 exons.
CCCGUCCCUUAUAUAUAGACCCCGCAUCCAAUCACGGCCCAGUUCCACUCUACCCCAGCCAAUCACACACACCAACACUGUCUUUAUACAAAUAAUUGC